RNAcentral lists this small nuclear RNA (332 nucleotides) under Ochotona princeps (American pika). RNAcentral describes it as "7SK RNA (ENSOPRG00000020774.1)". It matches the Rfam family "7SK RNA". From Rfam's summary of the family: 7SK was discovered as an abundant small nuclear RNA in the mid-70s but a possible function has only recently been suggested. Two independent studies have found that 7SK RNA binds the CDK9/cyclin T complex (known as elongation factor P-TEFb). Lineage: Eukaryota; Metazoa; Chordata; Mammalia; Lagomorpha; Ochotonidae. The record is from RNAcentral.
GGAUGUGACUGCGAUCUGGCUGCGACAUCUGUCACCCCAUUGAUCGCCAGGGUUGAUUCGACUGAUCUGGCUGGCUAGGCAGGUGUCCCCUCCCUCCCUCACCGCUCCAUGUGCGUCCCUCCUGAAGCUGCCCACUCGGUCGAAGAUGACGACCAUCCCCAUUAGAGCAGGACCGGUCUUCAGUCAAGGGUAUACGAGUAGCUGAGCUCCCCUGCUAGAACCUCCAAACAAGCUCUCAAGGUCCAAAUGUCUGCAACAGCUAAAGCUGGAGCCAGGCCACAGUCAGGAGUUAUGAACUCAGUUAGGGCCUUCCACGUAGCAGAGACAGAACU